AUACGUAGGGUGCGAGCGUUGUCCGGAAUUACUGGGCGUAAAGAGCUCGUAGGUGGUUUGUCGCGUCGUCUGUGAAAUUCCGGGGCUUAACUCCGGGCGUGCAGGCGAUACGGGCAUAACUUGAGUACUGUAGGGGAGACUGGAAUUCCUGGUGUAGCGGUGAAAUGCGCAGAUAUCAGGAGGAACACCGGUGGCGAAGGCGGGUCUCUGGGCAGUAACUGACGCUGAGGAGCGAAAGCAUGGGUAGGGAACAGGAUUAGAUACCCUGGUAGUCCAUGCCGUAAACGGUGGGCGCUAGGUGUAGGGGUCUUCCACGACUUCUGUGCCGUAACUAACGCAUUAAGCGCCCCGCCUGGGGAGUACGGCCGCAAGGCUAAAACUCAAAUGAAUUGACGGGG
Molecule: ribosomal RNA, 398 nt
Filed under: uncultured bacterium
Lineage: Bacteria
Description: partial 16S ribosomal RNA
Rfam family: Bacterial small subunit ribosomal RNA
Source: RNAcentral